RNAcentral lists this ribosomal RNA (465 nucleotides) under uncultured Klebsiella sp. RNAcentral describes it as "bacterial SSU rRNA". It matches the Rfam family "Bacterial small subunit ribosomal RNA", at positions 338 to 795 of the family's 1533-position model. The record is from RNAcentral. Lineage: Bacteria; Pseudomonadati; Pseudomonadota; Gammaproteobacteria; Enterobacterales; Enterobacteriaceae.
CCUACGGGUGGCAGCAGUGGGGAAUAUUGCACAAUGGGCGCAAGCCUGAUGCAGCCAUGCCGCGUGUGUGAAGAAGGCCUUCGGGUUGUAAAGCACUUUCAGCGGGGAGGAAGGCGGUGAGGUUAAUAACCUCAUCGAUUGACGUUACCCGCAGAAGAAGCACCGGCUAACUCCGUGCCAGCAGCCGCGGUAAUACGGAGGGUGCAAGCGUUAAUCGGAAUUACUGGGCGUAAAGCGCACGCAGGCGGUCUGUCAAGUCGGAUGUGAAAUCCCCGGGCUCAACCUGGGAACUGCAUUCGAAACGGGCAGGCUAGAGUCUUGUAGAGGGGGGUAGAAUUCCAGGUGUAGCGGUGAAAUGCGUAGAGAUCUGGAGGAAUACCGGUGGCGAAGGCGGCCCCCUGGACAAAGACUGACGCUCAGGUGCGAAAGCGUGGGGAGCAAACAGGAUUAGAUACCCUAGUAGUC